Long non-coding RNA from Neofelis nebulosa (Clouded leopard), 3466 nucleotides. RefSeq lists it as uncharacterized. The transcript is spliced from 2 exons. Lineage: Eukaryota; Metazoa; Chordata; Mammalia; Carnivora; Felidae. The record is from RefSeq and is a predicted model, not a curated record.
UGUUUAUUUUUGAGAGAGACAGAGUGUGAGUGGGGGAGGCACAGAGAGAGAGAGGGAGACAGAAUCUGAAGCAGACUCUAGGCUCUGAGCUGUCAGCACAGAGCCCGACGCGGGGCUCGAACUCACGGACCGUGAGAUCAUGACCUGAGCCGAAGUCGGACGCUAAACCGACUCAGCCACCCAGGCCUCCCAAUUUUUUUUCUUAAUGUUUCGUUUUGGGGAGGAAGGGGCAGAGAGAGGGAGACCUAGAAUCCAAAGCAAGCUCCUGUCAGCACACAGCCGGAUGUGGGGCUCAAACUCCUAAACUGCGAGAUCAUGACCUGAGCCGAGGUCAGACGCUUAACCGACUGAGCCACCCAGGGGCCCCGGACUGGGUGUUUCCUGAUUUUUAGCAUAUGUGGGUGCUGAGGAGGAGCACUGGAGCCAAUCCAGGACCUCCAGGCAGGGUUUUCUGAAGGACAAGCCUGGACGAUUCUGUUAGUCUGUUAGUCUGUGACUGUGUGCAUCUGAAACCCAAACGGAGAUGUCCGGAAGCUGGGGGCAUGAAGAAUGUUUUCUUCUUUUCUCCUUUCACAGGCUAUUUUGUGCAUUAACUAGCACACAUGUUGAGUUGUGUGCUUUGGCUUCUCUUCACAGAAAGAUCCAGAUUCGACUGUAAUUAGAUAUUUACCUUUUUAUUUUUCUGUAGGCACCUAGAGUAUACAUAAGGAACUAGAGUGAGUUAAGGUCUACAGCCUAGACUGGUAUUAAAUUAAGCUGGUUUGAUCACAAUUCACACAAGCUAAAAUGUAAGCACUGUAAGAGGUUCAAAAAUACCCUCUGUUUCAAGUAGGUAUAUUAUAUAAAAUAGCCUGUGUUCCUAAGUGUGUCUGUUGAUAAAUCUUUAGAUUGUGUCUGUAGAUAAAUCUAUAAAAUCUUUUUUUUUUUUUUUUUUUCUCAUUGACUAGUUUGGGUAAAUGCCCGCCCUGCCCCAGAAUAAUAAAGGUGAGCUUGAGAAUGUUCCAUAGUUUACAAGACAGUUCACAUAGCUAGCUACAGGUUAUGAACGAAAAGGAAUUAAGAUUCUUGCUCCUUCGUUACUUGCUUCAGGAACUAAUGUUCUGACUUUGUAAAAACAAUUUCAGAUUUGUAGGGCAAAAUGAUAUAGGAGAAGCAGCAUCCUGCUAAACUAUUAAGAAACAAGGAUGGAUAUAUGAAACACAGAAAAUUAAGACAAUCCCACGUGGAGUCUCUAUAGGAAUCAAGAAGAGAUUUACCGAGGAUUUCUCUUAGGGCAUUCCUGCAGACCGCAGGAGAAAAUGUGGCCUCUUCUGAACCAUUGGUUUAAGAGACAGAGUGCCUCCCCCACCCCAAGGCCUCCCCCCUGACUAGCAAGUACCAGAAAAUAACUGGGGAGGGAGGCCAGAUGGAUGUAGGUACAUUUCAUCUGGGCAGCGUGGACGCAGAGAAGGGUCGUGGUAGCAAAAUAGACUGAGGAUUAUAUUCUUAGAUUUGCUGCUGUCCGUUGAAGAGUAUGGAAUUCGAGGACAAGGGCAUCAAGAGAGAAUUUGCCUCUGGAGCAGUGCGUGCUCUGAUUGGGAAUACCCUGAGCCCUGGGGCCUUGAACUACAGACAGGGUUUGAACGUAUGGACACGGGAUGGACAAAUCCCUUUCCCACAAGGAGAGUGAGGCUCAAAGACAGUCUCUUUCUCUCUUUCCCAUCAAUCUUACUUAGGUAUAGUUGACAUAUAAUGAACUGUACGUAGUGAAAGCGUACAGUUUGGGAAGUUUUGACGUGCGUAUACCCUGCGAAAGCACCACUCCAGGCAGGUCAGUGAACAUAUCUACCACCCCCAAAGUUUCCUCCUGACCUGUUCUAGCUUUUCUGUCUAGACGUUUGGUUUCGUUGCUUUUUGUAUAUCCCACAUCUGUCCAAUGUAUUCGUCUGCCCUUCAGUUUCUCAAACACACACCAUAGAGUCGUAAACACGGUUUCAUUGUCUUUGCUAAUUCUGGCAUCUUCGCCAUUUCUGACUCAGAAUUGGUUGAUCUUUCUCUUCAUUUUGGGCCAUCUUAUUUUGCUUCUCUGCAUCCUUGCUGAAUUUUAGAUUGCAGGCCGGACUUUGGGUGCCAGGUGUUUUUGCGUUCCUACGAAUCUUUGGUUAAGUUACUUGGAAACAGCUGGAUCCUGUUGACUCUUGCUUUUCAGCUUUGGUGGGUGUUCCGAGUACCGCUCCAGCCUGGGCGUUGUUCCCUCUAAUCCUUUUGGGGGGUUCUUUCCCCAGGCGAGUGUAGGGUCUUUGUAAGAGCGUGCUGACCAAGGAGGGCUCCGUGCCUAUCUGUGGGGUUCUCUUUCUGUGCAGCGUUCUCUUAUCCCGGAACUCUGCUUCUUAGACUCUGGCUACCUUGGUCUCCUCAGACACCCAGAUCUGUCUGCUCAACACCAGGAUACUGCCAGGAGGUGCCUCGAUCCCCCUGGUCCCCCGUCCCCUCGCAGUCUGUGGACCCCUCCAGACCGGAAGCUGGGGACAGCCGUAGGCUCACCAUGUGUAUUUCUUGCCUCUCGGUGUUCGCUGCCCUUGGAUGCGUGACGUCCAGUGUCUUCAAGACCAUCUCAGAUUUUGUCUGUUUUUUUACUUGUUUCAAGUGUGAGAGUAAGUCUGUGUCCCUGAUGCUCCACAGUGGCCCAAGCGUGAGUGCCACACGUAUCCUCCCUGUGAGAUGGGAGCAGGCAUUCUGGAACUAGGAAGCAAUGUCUUCUUGACUUUGAGAAAGCAUCUCUGAAUGCAGCACUUUACGGCAUUCUUAAUACAGUAGAAGACAUCAUGAUGUUUAUAAAAAAGGAUCAACAAGUUUUUUGGUUUUUUUUAGUUUAUUUUUGAGAGAGAGAAAAAGUGAGAGUGGGGAGAGACAGAAAACGAGAGAAUCCCAAGCAGGCGCCACACUGUCAGCACAGAGCCCGACGCGGGGCUCAAACCCACGAACUGUGAGAUCAUGACCUGAGCCGAGGUUGGACGCUUAACCAUCUGAGCCACCCCGGCGCCCCCAGCAAAUCUCGAGGGGAGAGCAAAUUUGGAUAAAUAGGGAACAGGAUUAUUGAUUAGGUGAUAGGUGAGAAAAUGAGGCAUUGGCAGGAAGCUGGAAAGGCAAUGGUGGAAGGAAGUCCAUUUCGCACGCGGAGGUGAACUUGAAUGAUACUGCGUGGCAGAGUGAAAUGGCACGAUCGACUUGAGAGCAUGCACGUUUCCGAACGUUUUACAGGUAUAAAUUCAUAAAUAGAAUGGGAAGGUAAACACGCUCUGGAGAAAUAUUUACAGCACAGGACCAAGAGUCAGUCGAUAAGUUAAUAACAUAUACUAAUAACUCUUAGCAGAAGCAGCAGCAGGAAAACAAAGCCUUGGCAGGAGGGCUCAGGGGUGUUCUCCCAGGGACUUAACCAAGGAAGAGACACUUGCUCGCCAAGUGGCAAAAAAAAAAAAAAGUCCAA